RNAcentral lists this transfer RNA (76 nucleotides) under bacterium. Its description in RNAcentral is "tRNA-Val". It matches the Rfam family "tRNA". Rfam says of the family: Transfer RNA (tRNA) molecules are approximately 80 nucleotides in length. Their secondary structure includes four short double-helical elements and three loops (D, anti-codon, and T loops). RNAcentral also lists the same sequence under 1 other name. The record is from RNAcentral.
GGGUGGUUAGCUCAGCUGGGAGAGCAUCGCCCUUACAAGGCGAGGGUCACAGGUUCGAUCCCUGUAGCACCCACCA